RNAcentral lists this ribosomal RNA (449 nucleotides) under uncultured bacterium. Its description in RNAcentral is "partial 16S ribosomal RNA". It matches the Rfam family "Bacterial small subunit ribosomal RNA", at positions 329 to 792 of the family's 1533-position model. The record is from RNAcentral.
UUCCAGACUCCUACGGGAGGCAGCAGUGGGGAAUAUUGGGCAAUGGGCGCAAGCCUGACCCAGCAACGCCGCGUGAAGGAAGAAGGCCCUCGGGUUGUAAACUUCUUUUAUUCGGGACGAAACAAAUGACGGUACCGAAUGAAUAAGCCACGGCUAACUACGUGCCAGCAGCCGCGGUAAUACGUAGGUGGCAAGCGUUAUCCGGAUUUACUGGGUGUAAAGGGCGUGUAGGCGGGAGAGCAAGUCAGACGUGAAAUUCCAGGGCUCAACCCUGGAACUGCGUUUGAAACUGUUUCCCUUGAGUGUCGGAGAGGUAAUCGGAAUUCCUUGUGUAGCGGUGAAAUGCGUAGAUAUAAGGAAGAACACCAGUGGCGAAGGCGGAUUACUGGACGAUAACUGACGGUGAGGCGCGAAAGCGUGGGGAGCAAACAGGAUUAGAUACCCCAGUA